AGUGAACGCUGGCGGUAGGCCUAACACAUGCAAGUCGAACGGCAGCACAGUAAGAGCUUGCUCUUACGGGUGGCGAGUGGCGGACGGGUGAGGAAUACAUCGGAAUCUACUUUUUCGUGGGGGAUAACGUAGGGAAACUUACGCUAAUACCGCAUACGACCUACGGGUGAAAGCAGGGGAUCUUCGGACCUUGCGCGAUUGAAUGAGCCGAUGUCGGAUUAGCUAGUUGGCGGGGUAAAGGCCCACCAAGGCGACGAUCCGUAGCUGGUCUGAGAGGAUGAUCAGCCACACUGGAACUGAGACACGGUCCAGACUCCUACGGGAGGCAGCAGUGGGGAAUAUUGGACAAUGGGCGCAAGCCUGAUGCAGCCAUACCGCGUGGGGGAAGAAGGCCUUCGGGUUGUAAAGCCCUUUUGUUGGGAAAGAAAAGCAGCAGGUUAAUACCCCGCUGUUCUGACGGUACCCAAAGAAUAAGCACCGGCUAACUUCGUG
RNAcentral lists this ribosomal RNA (492 nucleotides) under uncultured bacterium. Its description in RNAcentral is "partial 16S ribosomal RNA". It matches the Rfam family "Bacterial small subunit ribosomal RNA", at positions 29 to 507 of the family's 1533-position model. The record is from RNAcentral.